ACGAGGUAGGGCAGCGGCGAGAAGCCCGCGGUCUUCGAGAGCCCGAAGACGUUGACGAAACCGAUGUUCGCCUCACUGGCCGCAUAC
RNAcentral lists this transfer RNA (87 nucleotides) under Gordonia sp. YY1. Its description in RNAcentral is "tRNA-Ser". Lineage: Bacteria; Bacillati; Actinomycetota; Actinomycetes; Mycobacteriales; Gordoniaceae. The record is from RNAcentral.